Molecule: small nuclear RNA, 102 nt
Filed under: Melopsittacus undulatus (budgerigar)
Lineage: Eukaryota; Metazoa; Chordata; Aves; Psittaciformes; Psittaculidae
Description: U1 spliceosomal RNA (ENSMUNG00000009821.2)
Rfam family: U1 spliceosomal RNA
About the family: U1 is a small nuclear RNA (snRNA) component of the spliceosome (involved in pre-mRNA splicing). Its 5' end forms complementary base pairs with the 5' splice junction, thus defining the 5' donor site of an intron.
Source: Rfam by way of RNAcentral
GGGAGACACCAUGAUCAAGCAGGUGGUUUUCCCAGGGCGAGGCUCAUCCCUUGCAAUCUGGGUGUGCUGACCCCUGUGAUUUCCCCAGAUGUGGGAAACUUG